Molecule: ribosomal RNA, 187 nt
Filed under: uncultured bacterium
Lineage: Bacteria
Description: partial 16S ribosomal RNA
Rfam family: Bacterial small subunit ribosomal RNA
Source: RNAcentral
GCCUGCAUGAAGUUGGAAUUGCUAGUAAUCGCGGAUCAGAAUGUCGCGGUGAAUACGUUCCCGGGCCUUGUACACACCGCCCGUCACACCAUGAGAGCCGAUAACACCCGAAGCCUGUGAGCUAACCGUAAGGGGGCAGCAGUCGAAGGUGGGGUUGGUGAUUGGGGUGAAGUCGUAACAAGGUAAC